GACGAACGCUGGCGGCGUGCUUAACACAUGCAAGUCGAACGGUGAAAGCGGAGCUUGCUCCGCUGGAUCAGUGGCGAACGGGUGAGUAACACGUGGGCAACCUGCCCCUCACUUCGGAAUAACUCCGGGAAACCGGGGCUAAUACCGGAUAUGACCUCCUUGGGCAUCCUUGGAGGUGGAAAGUUUUUCGGUGAGGGAUGGGCCCGCGGCCUAUCAGCUUGUUGGUGAGGUAGUGGCUCACCAAGGCGACGACGGGUAGCCGGCCUGAGAGGGCGACCGGCCACACUGGGACUGAGACACGGCCCAGACUCCUACGGGAGGCAGCAGUGGGGAAUAUUGCACAAUGGGCGAAAGCCUGACGCAGCAACGCCGCGUGCGGGAUGACGGCCUUCGGGUUGUAAACCGCUUUCAGCAGGGAAGAAGCCGCAAGGUGACGGUACCUGCAGAAGAAGCACCGGCUAACUACGUGCCAGCCGCCGCCGUAA
This 485-nucleotide ribosomal RNA is filed under the name uncultured bacterium. RNAcentral describes it as "partial 16S ribosomal RNA". It matches the Rfam family "Bacterial small subunit ribosomal RNA", at positions 28 to 523 of the family's 1533-position model. The record is from RNAcentral.